AGCGUACACGGUGGAUGCCCUGGCAGUCAGAGGCGAUGAAGGACGUGCUAAUCUGCGAUAAGCGCCGGUAAGGUGAUAUGAACCGUUAUAACCGGCGAUUUCCGAAUGGGGAAACCCAGUGUGACUCGUCACACUAUCAUUAACUGAAUCCAUAGGUUAAUGAGGCGAACCGGGGGAACUGAAACAUCUAAGUACCCCGAGGAAAAGAAAUCAACCGAGAUUCCCCCAGUAGCGGCGAGCGAACGGGGAGGAGCCCAGAGCCUGAAUCAGCAUGUGUGUUAGUGGAAGCGUCUGGAAAGGCGCGCGAUACAGGGUGACAGCCCCGUACACAAAAGCGCAUGUGCUGUGAGCUCGAUGAGUAGGGCGGGACACGUGGUAUCCUGUCUGAAUAUGGGGGGACCAUCCUCCAAGGCUAAAUACUCCUGACUGACCGAUAGUGAACCAGUACCGUGAGGGAAAGGCGAAAAGAACCCCGGCGAGGGGAGUGAAAAAGAACCUGAAACCGUGUACGUACAAGCAGUGGGAGCACCCUUUGGGGUGUGACUGCGUACCUUUUGUAUAAUGGGUCAGCGACUUAUAUUCUGUAGCAAGGUUAACCGAAUAGGGGAGCCGGAGGGAAACCGAGUCUUAAUUGGGCGUUAAGUUGCAGGGUAUAGACCCGAAACCCGGUGAUCUAGCCAUGGGCAGGUUGAAGGUUGGGUAACACUAACUGGAGGACCGAACCGACUAAUGUUGAAAAAUUAGCGGAUGACCUGUGGCUGGGGGUGAAAGGCCAAUCAAACCGGGAGAUAGCUGGUUCUCCCCGAAAGCUAUUUAGGUAGCGCCUCGUGAAUUCAUCUCCGGGGGUAGAGCACUGUUUCGGCUAGGGGGCCAUCCCGGCUUACCAACCCGAUGCAAACUGCGAAUACCGGAGAAUGUUAUCACGGGAGACACACGGCGGGUGCUAACGUCCGUCGUGAAGAGGGAAACAACCCAGACCGCCAGCUAAGGUCCCAAAGUCAUGGUUAAGUGGGAAACGAUGUGGGAAGGCCCAGACAGCCAGGAUGUUGGCUUAGAAGCAGCCAUCAUUUAAAGAAAGCGUAAUAGCUCACUGGUCGAGUCGGCCUGCGCGGAAGAUGUAACGGGGCUAAACCAUGCACCGAAGCUGCGGCAGCGACGCUGAUGCGUUGUUGGGUAGGGGAGCGUUCUGUAAGCCUGCGAAGGUGGCCUGUGAGGGUUGCUGGAGGUAUCAGAAGUGCGAAUGCUGACAUAAGUAACGAUAAAGCGGGUGAAAAGCCCGCUCGCCGGAAGACCAAGGGUUCCUGUCCAACGUUAAUCGGGGCAGGGUGAGUCGACCCCUAAGGCGAGGCCGAAAGGCGUAGUCGAUGGGAAACGGGUUAAUAUUCCCGUACUUGGUGUUACUGCGAAGGGGGGACGGAGAAGGCUAUGUUGGCCGGGCGACGGUUGUCCCGGUUUAAGCGUGUAGGUGUGUGUUCCAGGUAAAUCCGGUUCACUUUAACACUGAGGCGUGAUGACGAGGCACUACGGUGCUGAAGCAACAAAUGCCCUGCUUCCAGGAAAAGCCUCUAAGCAUCAGGUAACAUCAAAUCGUACCCCAAACCGACACAGGUGGUCAGGUAGAGAAUACCAAGGCGCUUGAGAGAACUCGGGUGAAGGAACUAGGCAAAAUGGUGCCGUAACUUCGGGAGAAGGCACGCUGACACGUAGGUGAAGUGAUUUACUCAUGGAGCUGAAGUCAGUCGAAGAUACCAGCUGGCUGCAACUGUUUAUUAAAAACACAGCACUGUGCAAACACGAAAGUGGACGUAUACGGUGUGACGCCUGCCCGGUGCCGGAAGGUUAAUUGAUGGGGUCAGCGCAAGCGAAGCUCCUGAUCGAAGCCCCGGUAAACGGCGGCCGUAACUAUAACGGUCCUAAGGUAGCGAAAUUCCUUGUCGGGUAAGUUCCGACCUGCACGAAUGGCGUAAUGAUGGCCAGGCUGUCUCCACCCGAGACUCAGUGAAAUUGAACUCGCUGUGAAGAUGCAGUGUACCCGCGGCAAGACGGAAAGACCCCGUGAACCUUUACUAUAGCUUGACACUGAACAUUGAGCCUUGAUGUGUAGGAUAGGUGGGAGGCUUUGAAGUGUGGACGCCAGUCUGCAUGGAGCCGGCCUUGAAAUACCACCCUUUAAUGUUUGAUGUUCUAACGUGGACCCGUGAUCCGGGUUGCGGACAGUGUCUGGUGGGUAGUUUGACUGGGGCGGUCUCCUCCUAAAGAGUAACGGAGGAGCACGAAGGUUGGCUAAUCCUGGUCGGACAUCAGGAGGUUAGUGCAAUGGCAUAAGCCAGCUUGACUGCGAGCGUGACGGCGCGAGCAGGUGCGAAAGCAGGUCAUAGUGAUCCGGUGGUUCUGAAUGGAAGGGCCAUCGCUCAACGGAUAAAAGGUACUCCGGGGAUAACAGGCUGAUACCGCCCAAGAGUUCAUAUCGACGGCGGUGUUUGGCACCUCGAUGUCGGCUCAUCACAUCCUGGGGCUGAAGUAGGUCCCAAGGGUAUGGCUGUUCGCCAUUUAAAGUGGUACGCGAGCUGGGUUUAGAACGUCGUGAGACAGUUCGGUCCCUAUCUGCCGUGGGCGCUGGAGAACUGAGGGGGGCUGCUCCUAGUACGAGAGGACCGGAGUGGACGCAUCACUGGUGUUCGGGUUGUCAUGCCAAUGGCACUGCCCGGUAGCUAAAUGCGGAAGAGAUAAGUGCUGAAAGCAUCUAAGCACGAAACUUGCCCCGAGAUGAGUUCU
This 2775-nucleotide ribosomal RNA is filed under the name Salmonella enterica. RNAcentral describes it as "bacterial LSU rRNA". It matches the Rfam family "Bacterial large subunit ribosomal RNA". Lineage: Bacteria; Pseudomonadati; Pseudomonadota; Gammaproteobacteria; Enterobacterales; Enterobacteriaceae. The record is from RNAcentral. RNAcentral also lists the same sequence under 1 other name.